RNAcentral lists this ribosomal RNA (449 nucleotides) under uncultured bacterium. RNAcentral's name for it is "partial 16S ribosomal RNA". It matches the Rfam family "Bacterial small subunit ribosomal RNA", at positions 29 to 523 of the family's 1533-position model. The record is from RNAcentral.
AACGAACGCUGGCGGCAGGCCUAAUACACGCAAGUCGAGCGCAUCCUUCGGGAUGAGCGGCGCACGGGUGCGUGACACGUGGGAAUGUGCCUCUAGGUACGGAACAACCAAGGGAAACUUUGGCUAAUACCGUAUAAUAUCGAGAGAUCAAAGAUUUAUCGCCUAGAGAUCAGCCCGCGUCUGAUUAGAUAGUUGGUGGGGUAAUGGCCUACCAAGUCGACGAUCAGUAGCUGGUCUGAGAGGAUGAUCAGCCACACUGGAACUGAGACACGGUCCAGACUCCUACGGGAGGCAGCAGUAAGGAAUAUUGGACAAUGGGCGAAAGCCUGAUCCAGCCAUGCCGCGUGAGUGACGAAGGCCUUAGGGUUGUAAAGCUCUUUCGUCUGUGAGGAUAAUGACCGUAGCAGAAGAGGAAGCCCCGGCUAAAUUCGUGCCAGCCGCCGCAGUAA